AAUAUUGGGCAAUGGACGGAAGUCUGACCCAGCCACGCCGUAUGCAGGAAGACAGUCUUCGUGACUGUAAACUGCUUUGAAACAGGACUAAGAUUAGGGAUGCGUCCUUAAUUUGAAGGUAGUGUAAGAAUAAGCACCGGCUAACUCCGUGCCAGCAGCCGCGGUAAUACGGAGGGUGCAAGCGUUAUCCGAAUUUAUUGGGUUUAAAGGGCAUUUAGGCGGUCUUUUAAGUCAGAGGUGAAAGUUCAGGGCUUAACCUUGAAAAGUCCUUUGAUACUGGCAGACUGGAGUAAUAUGGACGUAGGCGGAAUUUGAGGUGUAGCGGUGAAAUGCAUAGAUCUCUCAAGGAAUACCGAAAGCGAAGGCAGCUUACGAUGUAUUAACUGACGCUGAAGUGCGAAAGCGUGGGUAGCGAAUGGGAUUAGAUACCCCAGUAGUCCAUGCUGCA
RNAcentral lists this ribosomal RNA (448 nucleotides) under uncultured marine bacterium. RNAcentral's name for it is "bacterial SSU rRNA". It matches the Rfam family "Bacterial small subunit ribosomal RNA", at positions 360 to 804 of the family's 1533-position model. The record is from RNAcentral.